CUGCCCAUUUCCACUGCAUAGCACUGGGCAGGAUGCUAUGGACAGACAAUAAAAAUCAAAUUAAAACAAAUGGCAAAUAAUUUCAAAAAGAAGCACGAGUCCAGCAUUUAAUUUACAUUCUUCAUACACGGUCUUCACCGGGCAAAGUCAGGUGACUCUCAAGGCCACCCAGAUACAGGAUUUCUUCCCUGUGAUAAAGGAAAGAAGAGGAAGAUAACAAGCUCAAGCUGUGGCAUGAUGGAUUCCAGGAUUAAGCAUUUUCAGAGCUAAAUUUGGAAACUGCUAGGCAGAGUUGGAUGGGAUGAAACACAGAACAGGUUGCCCAAGGAAGCAGAGGGCAUCAAGGACCAGACCUCAACCUCUGCGACCACAGCUUUUUGCAAUCACUGCUCUCCAAGCUUUCUUUAGCUCCUUUCAGAUGAUGCCUUCUCCUUAUUCCAUUCUCCACACCAGCCACAUUAUUCUCCUUUUGUCCUCUGUUCUGAUUUUGCCAAGGAAGAUGCUGAUUUCAGUCCCUCAGAAUUUUCCUGUUCGCUCUGCCUUGAAAGUUCUCGCUUAAGUCCUGUUCUCUUUCAUUUUAUUUUGCUGAAACUCCACUGCAAGGACAUAUAUUCAACACAGACUGCUCUUGUUCACUGUUGCACAUCAGCCUUAGGCACUAACAGGGGAUAGUCUGCAGUUCUUUUCAACAAGAAAAAAGAAUACCUGCCUUUAACCAGGGAGAGGUUGCUGAGAAAGACUUGCAUGUUUACUGACAAGACAGCUGAUCACUCAGUAAAAGAUCAGAUAAAUUACUGGCCAUCUGCAGUGAGACUGACACUCCACAGAGCCUUCUGUGGAGAACACCUUCAGCAUCACCUGGAAAGCACUGCUACAAAUGUCAAGGCAAUGAACUUGAAAAGGCCACGUCCCAUGUCCAAGAAAACCUUCAAAAAGCCUAUGGAAUACACCUCUGGUGACUUGCUCUCAUUUAUUUUGUUUUAAAU
Molecule: long non-coding RNA, 986 nt
Organism: Passer domesticus (house sparrow)
Lineage: Eukaryota; Metazoa; Chordata; Aves; Passeriformes; Passeridae
Exons: 4
Source: RefSeq, a predicted model, not a curated record